AUAGCUGGUUACUUGAUAAAAGAAUUUUAGUUCUACCUAAAGCUUCCAUAAGUCUAAUAAACUAAUAUUAAUGCUUUAGAGUUAUUCAAAUAAGGUACAGCCUAUUUGAAUAAGGAAACAACCUAAACUAAUGGGUUAAUUCUGCUACAGUGUACCAAAGUGGGCCUAAAAGCAGCCACCUUUAACAAUAGCGUCAAAGCUUUUCUACACAGCGCACUCAAUUUCUCAACCCAAUCUAAACCCUUUAUUCACAUCGAGUAAUUCUAUAUAUUUAUAGAACAUAAAAUGUUAAAACUAGUAACAAGAAGAAAACCCUUCUCUUAAAUGUGAGUAUAGGCCAGAAAGGAUAAACCGCUGUCAAUUAACACUAAUGAUUCUUAAUUAGUAACGCCACAAGAAAACCCUAAUAAAACAAGUGUUAAACUAACACAAGAGCAUUUCAAGAAAGAUUAAAAGAAAAAGAAGGAACUCGGCAAACACCAACCCCGCCUGUUUACCAAAAACAUCGCCUCUUGAUAAAUAUAAGAGGUCCAGCCUGCCCAGUGACCUAGUUCAACGGCCGCGGUAUCCUAACCGUGCGAAGGUAGCGUAAUCACUUGUUCUUUAAAUGAGGACUAGUAUGAAUGGCACCACGAGGGUUACACUGUCUCCUUUUUUCAAUCAGUGAAACUAAUUUUCCCGUGAAGAAGCGGGAAUUUUUUUAUAAGACGAGAAGACCCUAUGGAGCUUUAAACAAAUUAACACUUGCUGCCCAAAAUAACUCUCCCAGGAACACACACACAGCAUAGCACGAUGAUUAAUAGUUUUUGAUUGGGGUGAUCACGGAGUAAAAAACAACCUCCAUGCCGAAAGGGCUCUUCCCUGAGCACAAAGCCACAACUUUAAGCACUAAAAAAUUAACGUUUAUUGACCCAAUAUUUUGAUCAACGAACCAAGUUACCCUAGGGAUAACAGCGCAAUCCACUUCAAGAGCCCCUAUCGACAAGUGGGUUUACGACCUCGAUGUUGGAUCAGGGUAUCCCAGUGGUGCAGCCGCUACUAAUGGUUCGUUUGUUCAACGAUUAAAACCCU
RNAcentral lists this ribosomal RNA (1071 nucleotides) under Boana stellae. RNAcentral's name for it is "partial 16S ribosomal RNA". It matches the Rfam family "Bacterial large subunit ribosomal RNA", at positions 845 to 2597 of the family's 2925-position model. Lineage: Eukaryota; Metazoa; Chordata; Amphibia; Anura; Hylidae. The record is from RNAcentral.